This 209-nucleotide long non-coding RNA is filed under the name Prunus persica (peach). RNAcentral's name for it is "long non-coding RNA (PPER_LNC007217)". Lineage: Eukaryota; Viridiplantae; Streptophyta; Magnoliopsida; Rosales; Rosaceae. The record is from RNAcentral.
AACUUUCCGACCUGAUUUGAUUGGAAGAAUGAAUUAGCUGAUCAGAUGCCCAUAUCAACAAUUUUAGUUGUGUUCUACUUUUGGACAAGUCUUUUCAUGUUUCCACUUAUAAAAGUGUAGUCAGUGUCAUCCCUUCGAGAAGAAUGAAGCGGAUUAAAUUGGGAGGGGAGACCUUUCCUUUAUUACAAUAAUGUAAAAGCUAGCACGAC